RNAcentral lists this long non-coding RNA (5606 nucleotides) under Homo sapiens (human). RNAcentral's name for it is "HSALNT0301888". The record is from RNAcentral. Lineage: Eukaryota; Metazoa; Chordata; Mammalia; Primates; Hominidae.
UGCUUUUAUUCCUUGCAGAACUCUGGAAGGAAUCCAGUAGAGGCCAUCACGCCCUUAGGUAAAUUUAUUAUGGUAUAAAUUGUAAUCGCAGUGACAGAAAUCUUAAUCAUUUUUUUCCAAUGGCAUAAGGCUUUACAACUUUUUUUAAAAUAUUUUUUUAUUAUACUUUAAGUUUUAGGGUACAUGUGCACAACGUGCAGGUUUGUUACAUAUGCAUACAUGUGCCAUGUUGGUGUGCUGCCCCCAUUAACUCGUCAUUUACAUUAGGUAUAUCUCCUAAUGCUAUCCCUCCCCCCUCCCCCCACCCCACAACAGGCCCCGGUGUGUGAUGUUUCCCUUCCUGUGCCCAAGUGUUCUCAUUGUUCAAUUCCCACCUAUGAGUGAGAACACACGGUGUUUGGUUGUUUGUCCUUGCGAUAGUUUGCUGAGAAUGAUGGUUUCCAACUUCAUCCGUGUCCCUAUAAACGACAUUAACUCAUCCUUUUUUAUGGCUGCAUAGUAUUCCAUGGUGUAUAUGUGCCACAUUUUCUUAAUCCAGUCUAUCAUUGAUGGACAUUUGGGUUGGUUCCAAGUCUUUGCUAUUGUGAGUAGUGCUGCAAUAAACAUGAGUGUGCAUGUGUCUUUAUAGCAGCAUGAUUUAUAGUCAUUUGGGUAUAUACCCAGUAAUGGGAUGGCUGGGUCAAAUGGAAUUUCUAGUUCUAGAUCCCUGAGGAAUCGCCACACUGUCUUCCACAAUGGUCGAACUAGUUUACAGUCCCACCAACAGUGUAAAAGUGUUCCUAUUUCUCCACAUCCUCUCCAGCACCUAUUGUUUCCUGACUUAUUAAUGAUCGCCAUUCUAACUGGUGUGAGAUGGUAUCUCAUUGUGGUUUUGAUUUGCAUUUCUCUGAUGGCCAGUGAUGAUGAGCAUUUUUUCAUGUGUCUGUUGGCUCCAUAAAUGCCUUCUUCUGAGACGUGUCUGUUCAUAUCCUUCGGCCACUUGUUGAUGGGGUUGUUUGUUUCUUGUAAAUUUGUUUGAGUUCUUUGGGCUUUACAACUUUCAAAGUGAAUUGGAUUUUUACCGUAAGCAAAAUAGAACAGAGGGUUUAUCUCAACCAGAAACAAAUGGAGUGUGUAAAAUUCAGUCUCUCUCUUCAGCCCCAUGCUACUGACUUCUGAAUAGCAUUCCAGCUGUAUUUAUCUGGGGCUUGGGAAAUUUUCUUGGUUCCUGGGAAGAAAGUUAACUAAAACAUAUGACAUCUCUGGCAGCAGUCACAAUUUCACACAAAAAGUUUCUUGCAAUAACUUCACAUAUUGCUUCCCCUGGUGGAAUCACUAUCUCUAGGGAAAGCUUGGGUCUAAAAUGACAACUAUAUUGAAUGAAAGUGAGAGCUGAAUGCUAGAUCCACCAGCUUGUAUCUCUCUAGGAGAAAUCUUCAUCUUAAAAUCACUUUUUAUGGAUGAUGUUAUGACAGAGACAAGUCCUAGAUUUUUUUCUUUUCCUGCUUUUAAAACAUAAAAAUUGUAAAACUUCUCAAGUAGCCAGACGUGGUGACGCAUCUGUAGUCCCAGUUACUCAAGAGGCUGAGGCAGGAGGUUUGAGCUCAGAGGUUCAAAUCCAGCUUGGGCAACAUAGUGAGACCCCCCCAACACACACCAAUCUCAAAACAAACAAAAAGCCUUCUCAAGUAAAAAAAUAAGCAAAUACUGUUACUACUCCAGCUACUCAACAGUGCUCCCUGUAGAUGAAAUACUACAGAGUGUUUGCUAUUUACAGGAAAUUGGAGGUGGGGUGGUUACUGGAAAGUGGGUUGGCAGAGAUUGGUGGUUAUGUGAUUUAAUCCUGAAAUAGACUGGUUAUGAGAAUCAAUGUCUUCAAAUUUCAAAUACUGUCUUGCUUUUGCUUUUGUAUAUAUAUACACACAUAUAUACAUAUAAAUAUAUAUACACACACACACACAAAAGCAAAAGCAAAACAGUUAUUAGCUAUCCUUCCUAGAGAUAGCUAGCAAGGACAGCUAAUCAACUCUUUCAACAUUUCAAGAUUAAAGGAUGAGGAUACCACCUGGGUUUUAAUACGGAGAUGGCUCAAGCCCUUUCCACUGCCAUGUAAAAGAUUUUUAGAUCACAUGUGUUGAUCAUUACAGUGAUGAGAUGGUAUUAAAAUGCUUGACAAAUUGGUCUCCAUGGCAGUGCUUGUAGUCCCAGCUACUCAGAGAGGCUGAGGCAGGAGGAUAAAGUGAGCCCAGGAGUUCGAGUCCAGCCUGGGCAGCAAAGCGAGCUCCUGUCUCUAAAACAAAAUACAGACUUGACAAACACCUACUGAAGGCAAUAUGAUCAUUACUUACAGAAAGGACAGGAUCAGAGCUAGGAGAGUGAAGGACUAGAUUUAUGAAGCUUCAGUCCCUUCUUUACGGGCACUGAAGAGAAACAGUUCAAGUCCUCCAGUUGUCCCAUAGGCUUUGUCAUAUAAGAAUGGAUAAUUUGCUACAAGCUCGAAAUGGCAAAACCAAUUACCUAAUGUUGCUACUGUACUGACUAAUCAUCUUACUCAUGAAACUAUCUACACCUUGCAGAGAACUUUAAGAAAACCACUGGGCAUGGUGGGUCGUGCCUAUAAUCUCAGAAUUUUGGAAGACCAAGGUGGGGGCAUCCCUUGAAGCCAGGAGUUUGAGACCAGCCUAGGCAACACAGCAAGAUACUGUCUCUACAUAAAACAAAAAAUAAGAAAAGUUAGCCAGGCAUGGUGGCUAUGCCUGUAGUCCUAGCUACUUGGGAGGCUGAGGCAGGAGGAUCCUUGCAGUGAGCACUCCAGCCUGGGUGAUGGAGCGAGACCCUGUCUCAAGAAAGAAAGAAAGAAGGGAAGAAAGGAAGAAAGGAAGGAAGGAAGGAAGAAAGGAAGAAAGGAAGGAAGGAAGAAGGAAGGAAGGAAGAAAAAGAAAGAAAGAAAGAAAGAAAGAAAGAAAGAAAGAAAGAAAGAAAGAAAGAAAGAAAAACCUUGCAGUAUACAUUUUCAUAAGCCCAAAAGUUACUUCCUUCCAUUUAUUGCAAGGCUAUAAGAACCCAAAUGUCUGCCUGUUAUGAUUUUAACCAGCACUUUUCUACAAGUGAGUAUGUUCAAGAACCCCUAAAAAGACUGUAAUAAUCAGAUAUCAAGCACCUAUAUGAGGUAGCAGGAGGAAGAAAGAGGCAGUACAAACAACAAUCCACACAUAAUCCAGUAAUGCAAGCUCUGAAAUUCCAACACUUCAUUUCAACUGCUUCCCCCAAAAUUCCAUACCAUGUUCUUGCUUUUGGAUAAAGUCAGUGACAAGAAACGAGAUGGUCAUACAGCAGCAGCAAAAAUAUAAUCAGGAAAUAUAAUGACUUUGUAAUAUCCCUGUGCGAAAGAAAUAAACCUGAGUAGUGAGAGGAACAUGGGUCUUGGAUUAGGAUAUAGAACAAUGUUUAAACCCUGGUUGGCCAGGUAUAAGCUAUGUAAUAACCUUGGGCAAUUCACCUAAUUCCUCUGAGUCUUAAUUUCCUCAUUUCUUAUAUGUGGUAAUUGUGCCUAAUUGAGAAGAUGCACAAUAGAAAUUCAAUAGUAGCUCUAAUUACCAUGCAACAACCUUCCUGGUCCACUGUGUGGGUUUCUUUCAGGCUGUGAGUAAGUGGACAUGGAUUUCUGUAGCUAGUCUCUGCCAGAGGAUAUGAGUAUUUCAAGAAGCAGGAAGGGCUGGAGGUGUGUGAAGGCUCCCCCGCUCCUGCACUUCAUUUGUACACUCUCAUCAUCACUGGAGGAGUCUCCUGGCUGCAGUUGAGCCUUCGAUGAGAUGAUUUGCAUCACUCACAUUCCAAGCUGGGUGGGGGAAGCCCAGACAUUCUCGCUCUGCCCCUCAACCAGCUUGGUGCCAGAUUUCCUCUCGCUUCACCCCCCCAGGAGGUCAUCUAGGGAGCAGGCAUCACACAGUAGCAACAGGCCUUGCGGAUGAUGACAUCAUAGGCUAUUUUGCCCACUCUGUUUAUCUCGCACUGAGAGGCAGGAGAGCACAGUAAGGAGCACAGGUUUUUUGGUUUGGUUUUGUGGGUUUUGUGGGGGUUUUUUGUUUUUUGUUUUUUUUUUUUUUUUUGAGAUAGACUAUCACUCUGUCACCCAGGCUGGAGUGCAGUGGCACGAUCUCAGCUCACUGCAACCUCCACCUCCGGGAUUCAGGUGAUUCUCGUGCCUCAGCCUCCCAAGUAGCUGGGAUUACAGGAGCACACCACCAUGACUGGCUAAUAUUUGCAUUUUUAAUAGAAACAGGGUUUUGCCAUAUUGGCCAGGCUGGUCUCAAACUCCUGACCUCAAGUGAUCCUCCUGCCUUGGCCUUGCAAAGUGCUGUGAUUACAGGCGUGAGCCACUGCACCUGGCAAAGAGCACAGGUUUUGAAGUCAAACAGACCUAUCUUCAAAGUAUGUUUCUGUCCUGUGCCACAUCUAAACCUUAAUUCCCUAAGCUGUAAAAGAUGAUCAAAUAGGCCAGGCACGGUGGCUCACACCUGUAAUCCCAGCACUGUGGGAGGCCGAGGCGGGCAGAUCACCUGAGGUCAGGAGUUCCAGACCAGCCUGGCCAACAUGAUGAAACCCCAUCUCUAUUAAAAAUAAGAAAAUUAGCCGGGCAUGGUGACAUAUGCCUAUAAUCCCAGUUACUCCAGAGGCUGAGGCAGGAGAAUCACUUGAACCUGGGUGGCAGAGGUUGCGGUGAGCUGAGAUUGUGCCACUGCACUCCAGCCUGGAUGACAGAGUAAGACUCCAUCUCGAAAAGAAAAAAAGAAACCCCACUGCCACCUCUGAAAGAUCUUCGGUGAUUUGGGCCAUUCAUUCAUUCCUCAGACUUAACCACCAACUGCACACCACACCCUGGGGAUACGAAUAAGACAUGAACUCCACCUUCAAAACACAUUCAGCCUGCUGAGAGAGAUAUAAACAAACCACAGCAAAUAUAAUGCACAAUAUCAUAUAACAGAGGUAGAGAGAAUGGAGGUCAAAAGGAGAAAGUAAUUGAAAAAAAGGCAAUUUUUGGAAGGCUUCACAGAAGCAGUGACACUAAAGGUAGCAUCUUUUUUUUUUUUUUUUUUUUUUUUUGUGAGGCAGCGUUUCACUCUCUUGCCCAGGCUGGAGUGCAGUGACCCAAUCUCAGCUCACUGCAACCUCCGCCUCCCAGGUUCAAACAAUUCUCCUGUCUCAGCCUCCUAAGUAGCUGGGACUACAGGUGCACGCCACCAUGCCAGCUAAUUUUUGUAUUUUUAGUAGAGAUAGGGUUUUACCAUAUUGGUCAAGCUGGUCUCGAAUUCCUGAUCUCAGGUGAUCCACCCACCUUGGCCUCCCAAAGUGCUGGGAUUACAGGCAUGAGCCACCUCGCCCAGCCUAAAGCUAGCAUCUUAAAUGUAGAUGAAAAUCUGUGAUGUUCAGUAUGUUCACUCUACUUUUUUUUUCAAAAGAUGAAUUACCUUUUCAUUAAUGUUUCCCUUUUUUUUUUUUUUUUGAGCUGGAGUCUUGCUCUGUUGCCCAAGCUGGCGUACAAUGGCGUGAUCUCAGCUCACCGCAACCUCCGCCUCCCAUGUUCACGUGAUUCUCCUGCCUCAGUCUCCCAAGUGGCUGGGAUUACA